This 201-nucleotide long non-coding RNA is filed under the name Cottoperca gobio. RNAcentral's name for it is "lncRNA (ENSCGOG00000001676.1)". The record is from RNAcentral. Lineage: Eukaryota; Metazoa; Chordata; Actinopteri; Perciformes; Bovichtidae.
ACUCAGGGAGAACAAACACAACGGGAAGACGAAGAAGUCAGGACUGAGAGGGAGCAGGAGCCUGGUGCUGAGGCUGGUAUGAGAGAAGAAGGCUGUCAAGCUGUCUGGGUGUGAGUGAACACCCUCUAGUGGAGCUGCUGACAAGCUGUCCUGCAGAGCGUCUGUCUGUUUCUAACCAUCAGCAUUUCAAGAGGUCUACGU